This 80-nucleotide ribosomal RNA is filed under the name Herteliana schuyleriana. Its description in RNAcentral is "partial 28S ribosomal RNA". Lineage: Eukaryota; Fungi; Ascomycota; Lecanoromycetes; Lecanorales; Squamarinaceae. The record is from RNAcentral.
UCCCCCCGCGGCCCGCCAGGCAACCCCCGAUUCUCCAAUGAUUGACCUCGGAUCAGGUAGGGAUACCCGCUGAACUUAAG